AGAGUAUGUGUUUCCAGGAUCAAAUGUCUUAAUUUGUGACUUUCACAGAGAACAGGCUUGGGAAAGAUGGUUGUCAAAAAUCACUAACGGAUGUUCCUCAGUAAAAGAAGUAGUUAAGUUAAAAUUUCGUCAAAUUGCUAAUUCAAAAACAGAAGAGAUUUGCAUAAAUGCUGUAAAUGCUUUCAAAGAGUCAGAAGAGUGGAAAAAUCACCCAAAACUUCGAGAGUACUUAAAAAACACUUGGUUAUGCAACCAAAAGAGAUGGGUGUUUGCUUUUCGGCAACAUCGCCUUUUGCGAAAUGUCAACACAAACAAUGGUACUGAAAGACAGAACCAAUCUCUAAAAUACAGCUUUUUGGAAAAAAGGAAAAACUCUUC
Molecule: non-coding RNA, 378 nt
Organism: Hydra vulgaris (swiftwater hydra)
Lineage: Eukaryota; Metazoa; Cnidaria; Hydrozoa; Anthoathecata; Hydridae
Source: RefSeq, a predicted model, not a curated record